GAGCGGUUGGUGUAAGUGGUAGGCACGGUGGUCUGAAGAACCACAGGUUGAGGUUCGACGCCUCAACCGCUCACCA
This 76-nucleotide transfer RNA is filed under the name Trueperaceae bacterium. RNAcentral describes it as "tRNA-Phe". It matches the Rfam family "tRNA". From Rfam's summary of the family: Transfer RNA (tRNA) molecules are approximately 80 nucleotides in length. Their secondary structure includes four short double-helical elements and three loops (D, anti-codon, and T loops). Further hydrogen bonds mediate the characteristic L-shaped molecular structure. tRNAs have two regions of fundamental functional importance: the anti-codon, which is responsible for specific mRNA codon recognition, and the 3' end, to which the tRNAs corresponding amino acid is attached (by aminoacyl-tRNA synthetases). tRNAs cope with the degeneracy of the genetic code in two manners: having more than one tRNA (with a specific anti-codon) for a particular amino acid; and 'wobble' base-pairing, i.e. permitting non-standard base-pairing at the 3rd anti-codon position. The record is from RNAcentral. Lineage: Bacteria; Thermotogati; Deinococcota; Deinococci; Trueperales; Trueperaceae.